GACAUCUCUAAUCCGAACAAUGAGGGUGGACAUUAUGUCUCUCAGUUGAGAUGGUAAUCCAACGCUGAUGAAAAGAAGCAAAGUAAUCCACAAGAGUCUCAGGAAAAGAGAUUUCUGUUCAGUGUAUUGAGAACUCUAAUGGAAAUCCUGGUGUGGUCGUCUAUGAUGAUAAAACAUACCCUGUUUCCUUGCAACAAGAUGCCAAUCAGGGCACUGCUUCUGGAGAUA
This is a long non-coding RNA of Scomber japonicus (chub mackerel), 228 nucleotides long. RefSeq lists it as uncharacterized. The record is from RefSeq and is a predicted model, not a curated record. The transcript has 3 exons. Lineage: Eukaryota; Metazoa; Chordata; Actinopteri; Scombriformes; Scombridae.